GGUGCUGCAUGGCUGUCGUCAGCUCGUGUCGUGAGAUGUCGGUUAAGUCCGCUAACGAGCGCAACCCUCGCUGUGUGUUACAAGUGUCACACAGGACCGCCGGUCUUAAGCCGGAGGAAGGUGGGGAUGACGUCAAGUCAGCAUGGCCUUUAUGUCCAGGGCUACACACACGCUACAAUGGUCAGCACAAUAGGUAGCCAAGCCGCGAGGUGGAGCCAAUCCUCAAAGCUGGCCUCAGUUCAGAUCGCAGGCUGCAACCCGCCUGCGUGAAGCCGGAGUUGCUAGUAACCGCAGGUCAGCUAUACUGCGGUGAAUACGUUCCCGGGGCUU
This 330-nucleotide ribosomal RNA is filed under the name uncultured Fastidiosipila sp. Its description in RNAcentral is "bacterial SSU rRNA". It matches the Rfam family "Bacterial small subunit ribosomal RNA", at positions 1037 to 1382 of the family's 1533-position model. Lineage: Bacteria; Bacillati; Bacillota; Clostridia; Eubacteriales; Oscillospiraceae. The record is from RNAcentral.